This is a long non-coding RNA of Hibiscus syriacus, 182 nucleotides long. RefSeq lists it as uncharacterized. The record is from RefSeq and is a predicted model, not a curated record. The transcript is spliced from 3 exons. NCBI's taxonomy places the organism in Eukaryota, Viridiplantae, Streptophyta, Magnoliopsida, Malvales, Malvaceae.
GCUUGCCAGGCGUUUUUCAAGCAUUGACAACUUUUCUGCCUUAUUUACCGAGACACUCAACUCGGUAUGCUCCCAAUCCUAUCGUAUCAAGUAGAUGAAUACAAUUUUCUUCCACACAUGAAGAAUUUUCGAGGUAAGUUGAAAUCUGUAAGAGUUGGGGUGGCACUUACUUCAUUGUUUUU